GUAGUCUCGCACAGAUGCAUAUCAAUAAGCGGAGGAAAAGAAACUAACAAGGAUUCCCUUAGUAACGGCGAGUGAAGCGGGAAGAGCUCAAAUUUGAAAUCUUCAAGGUUUUCCCUUGACGAAUUGUAGUUUAAAGAAGUGUUUUCUGUUGAAGGUUUUGGUAAAAGUUCUUUGGAAUAGGACAUCAUAGAGGGUGAGAAUCCCGUAUUUGACCAUUACUUUCAGCGUUGUGAUACACUUUCAAAGAGUCGGAUUGUUUGGGAAUGCAGUCCAAAAUGGGUGGUAAAUUUCAUCUAAAGCUAAAUAUUGGCGAGAGACCGAUAGCGAACAAGUACCGUGAGGGAAAGAUGAAAAGAACUUUGAAAAGAGAGUUAAACAGUACGUGAAAUUGUCAAAAGGGAAGCGUUUGACACCAGUGUUGUUUUCUCGAAAAUCAAUUAAAAAGAGUUUGAUUUUGUUGUGUAUUGACCUUAACAGCUUGCAUUUCAAUUUUCUUGCUUUUUUUAAUGCACUUUUCGUUUAACAAGUCAACAUCAGUUUCUUUUGUUGUAAAAAGGUCAUUGGAAGGUGGCUUUCUUUCGGAGAAAGUGUUUAUAGCCUUUGACUCCUGCAAUCGGAGAGACUGAGGUCUGCAGCGUAGAUCCUUCGGGGUUAGAUACAUUUGUGCUAAGUUAUAGCUUUUUAUAGACAACUUGUUGACUAUGAUUAGUCUUGUAGCUUACUCGCUUAUGCUAUUUUACCUACGCUUAGGAUGUUGAGCGCAUGUCUCUCUCU
RNAcentral lists this ribosomal RNA (774 nucleotides) under uncultured Neocallimastigales. RNAcentral describes it as "partial large subunit ribosomal RNA". It matches the Rfam family "Eukaryotic large subunit ribosomal RNA", at positions 24 to 616 of the family's 3401-position model. Lineage: Eukaryota; Fungi; Neocallimastigomycota; Neocallimastigomycetes; Neocallimastigales. The record is from RNAcentral.